Molecule: long non-coding RNA, 1464 nt
Filed under: Struthio camelus australis
Lineage: Eukaryota; Metazoa; Chordata; Aves; Struthioniformes; Struthionidae
Description: lncRNA (ENSSCUG00000003510.1)
Source: RNAcentral
GAAUGAAGCAGUAAUUUAUUUACCUUGACCUAACUCUGCUCUGGAAAUCCACCGUAUCAUGUUUUGCUCCCUUGCAAUUGUGUGGCUACUGCACAUGAUCCAAUGCAGUCUUUCACUGUCUUUUUCUGCUAGGUCUUAGCUGUCGUUGGGCUUGUUUCUCAUGACUAAGAAGCUGCCUGUUUGAUAUUAUUUAUCUUUAGAAAGACAAGGGUUGGGGGGGGGGGGGGGGGGGGGGUGGAGCUGGCACUGAGGUCUUCUAAAUAUAACUGCACACUGAAUUUACUGAUUUUAUUUUUUCUUUAUAUGGAAUUACUUUUCAGCUACUGUAUCCUUUCUGAUUCAGAAUGUGCGUGUUAUUUUUGAAUCUUCUCAUUUGAGAACAGUAUUUCAGGCAUUCGAACAUUUUCUUUCUACCAUUUGUGGAAGAGCUCAAGACUUUGAUCCUGUCACCACCCUAGAUGAUUUGAUGCUUGCCCACACCUUUAUUUACUGCAGACUGGAUGACUGCCAUUCCUGCCAAGCUUCCUGACCGGGCACCACUACCAAAAGGUGGUGUUGGAGCCGGUGUGUUGGCAGCAGAACCUCAUCAUCUCGCCAGGCGCUCGAGUCGCGUUGUUCCAUUAUUGAUUCUUUGCACUGCGUGGCGGCAUGGCUCCCUCUUGGCUUCUUUCCUUGCAAGUUUUUCAGCUGCUUCUUGCCGUGCUGCUGGCUGAGCGAGCAUGAACAGCCCCUGCAGAUGAGAGGCUGGCAGUGAUAGCGCUGGAAUGUGGCCUCGGCCGUUGAUCAGAGCGACGCCACCCGUCAGGCCACUUGGGCGCUCUUAUUUUUCUGACCACUUUUGGCCUGGAAUCCGGCAGGGGGCAUGUUCAGCCAUGCUGUGCGUGUACCCAUAAAUGGCAUAUUCUUUAGGUAAGUCUUUUAAAUCCUUCCAGGUAAUACCUCUUGAGUUACAGGUUUCAUUUCAAAGGCCCUGCACCGUAUAUAGAUGUUUAAAGUGUUCUUCUGUCCAUUCCUACUUGCUUUAAAAAUCUGCUUGAAAGAAACCAUCGGGAUUAGAGAAAGACUGCAUAUUCUGCCAGGGGAAAAAAAAAAGAAUUAAAUAUCAAAGGAGGAUAAUUUUGUUGCUACGGAUCACAAGUAUUCUUCCGCUUAAUGGACCGGGAUCUCAUAAACUAUGAAUGAUUGAUUAUUCCUUUCUGCUUCAGAUUUGGGAAGUACCAGAGAAGAAGCUGAUAUCUAAAAGAGAUUUUUAAAUAUAGGAUGUUACUAGGGCAAAAUCUCUGCUGCUUCCUUCUCUCUAUCUGCACUUGAAAAUAACGGAAGCAGGUGGCUGGCGGACAGAAUAUGAGGGUGAAGCUGGGACUAGGUGUUAAAAGCUCUCCAUUACAUUCCCAAGCUGGCCCUUGGCUUGCACUGUGACUGUGAACAAGCUAUUUUCCUUGCAAGCCUUAGCAUUCCCAGCUG